RNAcentral lists this ribosomal RNA (573 nucleotides) under uncultured bacterium. RNAcentral describes it as "partial 16S ribosomal RNA". It matches the Rfam family "Bacterial small subunit ribosomal RNA", at positions 355 to 916 of the family's 1533-position model. The record is from RNAcentral.
UGGGGAAUUUUGGACAAUGGGCGAAAGCCUGAUCCAGCAAUNGCCGCGUGUGAUGAAGCAAGGCCUUCGGGUUGUAAAGCACUUUUGUCCGGAAAGAAAUCCUUGGCUCUAAUACAGUCGGGGAUGACGGUACCGGAAGAAUAAGCACCGGCUAACUACGUGCCAGCAGCCGCGGUAAUACGUAGGGUGCAAGCGUUAAUCGGAAUUACUGGGCGUAAAGCGUGCGCAGGCGGUUUGCUAAGACCGAUGUGAAAUCCCCGGGCUCAACCUGGGAACUGCAUUGGUGACUGGCAGGCUAGAGUAUGGCAGAGGGGGGUAGAAUUCCACGUGUAGCAGUGAAAUGCGUAGAGAUGUGGAGGAAUACCGAUGGCGAAGGCAGCCCCCUGGGCCAAUACUGACGCUCAUGCACGAAAGCGUGGGGAGCAAACAGGAUUAGAUACCCUGGUAGUCCACGCCCUAAACGAUGUCAACUAGUUGUUGGGGGAUUUGCAUUUCCUUAGUAACGUAGCUAACGCGUGAAGUUGACCGCCUGGGGAGUACGGUCGCAAGAUUAAAACUUAAAUGAAUUGACGG